GGUCAAGCUACAAAGAGCGCAUGGAGGAUACCUUGGCGCCAGCAGCCGAAGAAGGACGCAAUAAACUGCGAAAAGCUAGGGGGAGCCGUUAUAGGCUUCGAUCCCUAGGUCUCCGAAUGGGGCAACCCCGCCAGAGUAAUGUCUGGUGACCCAUGACUGAAUAAAUAGGUCAUGAGGAGGUAAGCUCGGGAACUGAAACAUCUUAGUACCGAGAGGAAAAUAAAACAAAACAGUGAUUCCCUUAGUAGCGGCGAGUGAAAGGGGAAGAGCCCAAACCAGUUCUACGCAAGUAGUGCUGGGGUAGCGGGACACCAUACGAGAUGGGAAAACGAUAGUUGAAGAUGCCUGGGAAGGCACACCAAAGACGGUGACAGUCCGGUAAGCGAAAUUGUUUGAACCUCAGGUGUAUCCCAAGUAGAACGGGACACGAGAAAUCCCGUUUGAAUCUGCCGGGACCAUCCGGUAAGGCUAAAUACUGACUGGCGACCGAUAGUGAACAAGUACCGCGAGGGAAAGGUGAAAAGAACCCCGGUGAGGGGAGUGAAAUAGAACAUGAAACCGUGUGCUUACAAGCAAUUAAAGCACUAUUUGAUAGUGUAAUAGUGUGCCUGUUGAAGAAUGAGCCGGCGAGUUACCUUAUGUAGUUGGUUAAGCGGUUAAUACGCGAAGCCACAGGGAAACCGAGUCUGAAAGGGCGUUGAUAAUUACAUGAGGUAGACCCGAACCCAGGUGAUCUAGGCAUGGCCAGGAUGAAGCGCGUGUAACAAUGCGUAGAGGUCCGAACCAACCGGUGUUGAAAAACCGGUGGAUGAGCUGUGUUUAGGGGUGAAAUGCCAAUCGAACUUGGAGCUAGCUGGUUCUCCCCGAAAGGCGUUGAGGCACCGCGUCAGAUCUAUCCUAUGGGGGGUAGAGCACUAGUUCGGUGCGGGCGGAGAAAAUCCGUACCAAAUCGAGUUAAACUCCGAAUACCCAUAGUGUCAUUAUCUGGCAGUGAGACUGCGAGAGAUAAGUUCCGUAGUCAAAAGGGAAACAGCCCAGACCACCGACUAAGGUCCCAAAAUUCAUGCUAAGUGAUUAAGGAGGUGGAGUUGCAUAGACAACCAGGAUGUUGGCUUAGAAGCAGCCACCAUUUAAAGAAAGCGUAAUAGCUCACUGGUCAAGCGACUCUGCGCCGAAAACGUACGGGGCUAAGCAUGAUACCGAAAUCGUGGGUUCGUACUUUACUGUACGAGCGGUAGGGGAGCGUCGUGUUGUAGGAAGAAGUACGACCGUAAGGACGUAUGGAUGAAGCACGAGUGAGACUGUCGGCUUAAGUAGCGAAAACAUUGGUGAGAAUCCAAUGCACCGAAAGACUAAGGGUUCCCACGGCAGGUUCGUCCACGUGGGGUUAGCCGGGAGCUAAGGCGAGGCCGAAAGGCGUAGUCGAUGCACAACGGGUUAAUAUUCCCGUGCAACCGUAGAUCGUUAUGAGCAAAGUCGGAACGCAGGAGGCUAUAUGGAAGGGGCGACUGGAUGUCACCUCCAAAGGCGUAGCUAGUUCAGGUAGGCAAAUCCGCCUGGGCGUUAUAAAGUAAGGCCGAGUAAGGAAGAACUCACGAGUUCAACUCCAUAGACGCCACGCUGCCGAGAAAAGCGGCGUUGCCAGAUCGAAGGUUCUCGUACCCGAAACCGACACAGGUAGUCUGGUAGAGAAUACCAAGGUGCGCGAGAUAACUCUCUCUAAGGAACUCGGCAAAAUAACCUCGUAACUUCGGAAGAAGAGGUGCCCUGAUAGCGUGUAAGCCCUCGCGGCUGAAGCGUGAGAGGGUCGCAGCGACGAGGCUCAAGCGACUGUUUAACAAAAACACAGGUCCCUGCUAAGUCGAAAACGACGUAUAGGGGCUGACGCCUGCCCGGUGC
RNAcentral lists this ribosomal RNA (1899 nucleotides) under Cyanobacteria bacterium SZAS-4. Its description in RNAcentral is "partial 23S ribosomal RNA". It matches the Rfam family "Bacterial large subunit ribosomal RNA", at positions 1 to 1869 of the family's 2925-position model. The record is from RNAcentral. Lineage: Bacteria; Bacillati; Cyanobacteriota.